UGAGAACGGACAGACUGCCUCCUCAAG
Molecule: non-coding RNA, 27 nt
Filed under: Homo sapiens (human)
Lineage: Eukaryota; Metazoa; Chordata; Mammalia; Primates; Hominidae
Source: RNAcentral